Molecule: ribosomal RNA, 405 nt
Filed under: uncultured bacterium
Lineage: Bacteria
Description: partial 16S ribosomal RNA
Rfam family: Bacterial small subunit ribosomal RNA
Source: RNAcentral
AUUGAACGCUGGCGGCAGGCCUAACACAUGCAAGUCGAACGAGUGGCGGACGGGUGAGUAAUGCUUGGGAAUCUAGCUUAUGGAGGGGGAUCACUACGGGAAACUGUAGCUAAUACCGCGUACAAUAGGAUGAGCCCAAGUGGGAAUGGGUAGUGGUUGAGGUAAAGUCUCACCAAGCCGACGAUCUCUAGCUGGUCUGAGAGGAUGACCAGCAACACUGGAACUGAGACACGGCCCAGACUCCUACGGGAGGAAGCAGUGGGGAAUAUUGCGCAAUGGGGGCAAGCUGAUGCAGCCAUGCCGCGUGAGUGAAGAAGGCCUUCGGGUUGUAAAGUACUUUCAGUAGCGAGGCGUUACCUACAGAAGAAGCACCGGCUAACUCCGUGCCAGCAGCCGCGGUAAUUC